This 169-nucleotide small RNA is filed under the name Klebsiella pneumoniae. RNAcentral describes it as "RtT sRNA". It matches the Rfam family "RtT RNA". From Rfam's summary of the family: This family represents a bacterial cis-regulatory element known as RtT RNA. The exact function of RtT is unknown although it is thought that it may be involved in changing the cellular response in relation to amino acid starvation. Lineage: Bacteria; Pseudomonadati; Pseudomonadota; Gammaproteobacteria; Enterobacterales; Enterobacteriaceae. The record is from RNAcentral.
UAGCUCAGUUGGUAGAGCAGUUGACUUUUAAUCAAUUGGUCGCAGGUUCGAAUCCUGCACGACCCACCAAUUUCAGUAUUUAACUCAGAUGCUGAACGUGAAGGAUAACGUUGCGUCAGCAACGGCCCGAAGGGCGAGGCAAAGCCGAGUCAUCCUGCACGACCUACCA